GUGGGGAAUCUUGCGCAAUGGGCGAAAGCCUGACGCAGCCAUGCCGCGUGAAUGAUGAAGGUCUUAGGAUUGUAAAAUUCUUUCACCGGGGACGAUAAUGACGGUACCCGGAGAAGAAGCCCCGGCUAACUUCGUGCCAGCAGCCGCGGUAAUACGAAGGGGGCUAGCGUUGCUCGGACUUACUGGGCGUAAAGGGCGCGUAGGCGGACAGUUUAGUCAGAGGUGAAAGCCCAGGGCUCAACCUUGGAAUUGCCUUUGAUACUGGCUGUCUUGAGUACGGGAGAGGUGAGUGGAACUCCGAGUGUAGAGGUGAAAUUCGUAGAUAUUCGGAAGAACACCAGUGGCGAAGGCGACUCACUGGCCCGUUACUGACGCUGAGGCGCGAAGGCUAGGUUAGCAAACGGGAUUAGAAACCCGAGUAGUCC
This 425-nucleotide ribosomal RNA is filed under the name uncultured bacterium. RNAcentral's name for it is "partial 16S ribosomal RNA". It matches the Rfam family "Bacterial small subunit ribosomal RNA", at positions 354 to 796 of the family's 1533-position model. The record is from RNAcentral.